GAUGAACGCUCGCUACAGGCUUAACACAUGCAAGUCGAGGGGCAGCAUGGUCUUAGCUUGCUAAGGCCGAUGGCGACCGGCGCACGGGUGAGUAACACGUAUCCAACCUGCCGUCUACUCUUGGACAGCCUUCUGAAAGGAAGAUUAAUACAAGAUGGCAUCAUGAGUCCGCAUGUUCACAUGAUUAAAGGUAUUCCGGUAGACGAUGGGGAUGCGUUCCAUUAGAUAGUAGGCGGGGUAACGGCCCACCUAGUCUUCGAUGGAUAGGGGUUCUGAGAGGAAGGUCCCCCACAUUGGAACUGAGACACGGUCCAAACUCCUACGGGAGGCAGCAGUGAGGAAUAGUGGUCAAUGGGCGCAGGCCUGAACCAGCCAAGUAGCGUGAAGGAUGACUGCCCUAUGGGUUGUAAACUUCUUUUAUAAAGGAAUAAAGUCGGGUAUGGAUACCCGUUUGCAUGUACUUUAUGAAUAAGGAUCGGCUAACUCCGUG
RNAcentral lists this ribosomal RNA (490 nucleotides) under uncultured bacterium. Its description in RNAcentral is "partial 16S ribosomal RNA". It matches the Rfam family "Bacterial small subunit ribosomal RNA", at positions 28 to 507 of the family's 1533-position model. The record is from RNAcentral.